AAUAUAUCAUUAAUCUAUAAAUUAAAAGUUGAAGAGCUUACAUUAAUUAUUCAGUGGACACAUGGCAAAUGUUAAAGUGAUGAUGUGUCAAUCAUAUGGAGAGAAUUGGUCAACUUUCAUAUAUAUGAUUUAUCUCACAAAAAUACUAUU
This 150-nucleotide small RNA is filed under the name Arabidopsis thaliana (thale cress). RNAcentral describes it as "ATSL006470". The record is from RNAcentral. Lineage: Eukaryota; Viridiplantae; Streptophyta; Magnoliopsida; Brassicales; Brassicaceae.